This 424-nucleotide ribosomal RNA is filed under the name uncultured bacterium. RNAcentral's name for it is "bacterial SSU rRNA". It matches the Rfam family "Bacterial small subunit ribosomal RNA", at positions 207 to 622 of the family's 1533-position model. The record is from RNAcentral.
AAGACCUUGCGCUUUUGGAGCGGCCGAUGCCUGAUUAGCUUGUUGGUAAGGUAAAAGCUUACCAAGGCUUCGAUCAGUAGCUGGUCUGAGAGGACGACCAGCCACACUGGGACUGAGACACGGCCCAGACUCCUACGGGAGGCAGCAGUGGGGAAUUUUGGACAAUGGGGGCAACCCUGAUCCAGCCAUGCCGCGUGAGUGAAGAAGGCCUUCGGGUUGUAAAGCUCUUUCAGCCGGAACGAAACGGUUACGGUUAAUACCCAUGACUACUGACGGUACCGGAAGAAGAAGCACCGGCUAACUACGUGCCGGCAGCCGCGGUAAUACGUAGGGUGCGAGCGUUAAUCGGAAUUACUGGGCGUAAAGCGUGCGCAGGUGGUUUUGUAAGUCAGAUGUGAAAGCCCCGGGCUACAGCCUGGGAACU